UGUAGCAGCCCAGUUAAGAAAGUAAAGAUGAAUAAAAAUGUUUUAAAAGACUAUGUGCCAAAGUCGCAUACAUAGACGGGUAUUGGAACUCGGUUGUUUACUUCAACGGCAGCUGUGGUCGCCUAAACAGCACCAGGCCCUAUUGUAGGGGUUUGGAGUUUUACGUAUGAUUACGGAUAUGGAAGAUGUAGAAACUGUAUUCAUCAGUUAUGGAGAAUAAAGGAAGCAACAACAA
This is a long non-coding RNA of Penaeus indicus, 235 nucleotides long. RefSeq lists it as uncharacterized. Lineage: Eukaryota; Metazoa; Arthropoda; Malacostraca; Decapoda; Penaeidae. The record is from RefSeq and is a predicted model, not a curated record. The transcript is spliced from 2 exons.